Molecule: ribosomal RNA, 483 nt
Filed under: uncultured bacterium
Lineage: Bacteria
Description: partial 16S ribosomal RNA
Rfam family: Bacterial small subunit ribosomal RNA
Source: RNAcentral
UUGAACGCUGGCGGCAGGCCUAACACAUGCAAGUCGAGCGGAUGAAGGGAGCUUGCUCCUGGAUUCAGCGGCGGACGGGUGAGUAAUGCCUAGGAAUCUGCCUGGUAGUGGGGGAUAACGUCCGGAGACGGGCGCUAAUACCGCAUACGUCCUGAGGGAGAAAGUGGGGGAUCUUCGGACCUCACGCUAUCAGAUGAGCCUAGGUCGGAUUAGCUAGUUGGUGGGGUAAAGGCCUACCAAGGCGACGAUCCGUAACUGGUCUGAGAGGAUGAUCAGUCACACUGGAACUGAGACACGGUCCAGACUCCUACGGGAGGCAGCAGUGGGGAAUAUUGGACAAUGGGCGAAAGCCUGAUCCAGCCAUGCCGCGUGUGUGAAGAAGGUCUUCGGAUUGUAAAGCACUUUAAGUUGGGAGGAAGGGCAGUAAGUUAAUACCUUGCUGUUUUGACGUUACCAACAGAAUAAGCACCGGCUAACUUCGUG